Non-coding RNA from Camelina sativa (false flax), 605 nucleotides. NCBI's taxonomy places the organism in Eukaryota, Viridiplantae, Streptophyta, Magnoliopsida, Brassicales, Brassicaceae. The record is from RefSeq and is a predicted model, not a curated record.
AAAGUUUACGUUUCUAUCCUGAAAACGACCCCUCUCCAUUCGAGUACAUAAAUGAAAGUCUAAAAUCAUGAAAAUUAAAGUUUAAAGAAAAAACAUAACAAGAUAUGAGAAAGACAAUGUUUGGUCAAGUACUAAUUGUGCUUCUUCUUCUCGGCACCCACCUUUGCCGUAUCGAGUCAGCUAUUCCUUCUGGUCAACAACCAUUCCUUCAAACAGGGAGGAGAAUGAUGACUUAUCAUAUGCUGAUUGAGGGACCAGUAAGACCAUCGCAAAGCCAACAAGGUGGUGGAAAAUUUUCUAAUGAUGAUCCUUCCAAUCCCACCGAUUAGUUUUUCGGUUUCUAUUCAAUUUCCGAUUUCAUGAAAUCUUGAAUUUUUACUUUCUGUUGCUUUUGCUUCAACUCACCGUAAUCUAUAUCUUGUAGUUUACGUGAUAUUUCCGUUGUUUCUAGUAACAAAAUUUCUGUUAUCGCCUCAUCAUGUUCAAUCUACGAACGCAUAGUUCUUUCCAUAACAUUUCUGUAUACAUGUACUCUUGUACCAAGUAGAUCAUAUCUUCUCUUUCACGGUGGAAGUUCCACCAGAUCAGCAUCUCUUGAUUCGUAA